RNAcentral lists this ribosomal RNA (344 nucleotides) under uncultured Pseudomonas sp. RNAcentral's name for it is "bacterial SSU rRNA". It matches the Rfam family "Bacterial small subunit ribosomal RNA", at positions 1040 to 1382 of the family's 1533-position model. The record is from RNAcentral. Lineage: Bacteria; Pseudomonadati; Pseudomonadota; Gammaproteobacteria; Pseudomonadales; Pseudomonadaceae.
GCUGCAUGGCUGUCGUCAGCUCGUGUCGUGAGGAUGUUGGGUUAAGUCCCGUAACGAGCGCAACCCUUGUCCUUAGUUACCAGCACGUUAUGGUGGGCACUCUAAGGAGACUGCCGGUGACAAACCGGAGGAAGGUGGGGAUGACGUCAAGUCAUCAUGGCCCUUACGGCCUGGGCUACACACGUGCUACAAUGGUCGGUACAAAGGGUUGCCAAGCCGCGAGGUGGAGCUAAUCCCAUAAAACCGAUCGUAGUCCGGAUCGCAGUCUGCAACUCGACUGCGUGAAGUCGGAAUCGCUAGUAAUCGUGAAUCAGAAUGUCACGGUGAAUACGUUCCCGGGCCUU